This 1147-nucleotide ribosomal RNA is filed under the name uncultured Gammaproteobacteria bacterium. RNAcentral's name for it is "bacterial SSU rRNA". It matches the Rfam family "Bacterial small subunit ribosomal RNA", at positions 363 to 1504 of the family's 1533-position model. Lineage: Bacteria; Pseudomonadati; Pseudomonadota; Gammaproteobacteria. The record is from RNAcentral.
AUUGGACAAUGGGGGCAACCCUGAUCCAGCCAUGCCGCGUGUGUGAAGAAGGCCUUCGGGUUGUAAAGCACUUUAAGUAGGGAGGAAGGCCCUGUAGUUAAUACCUGCAGGGAUUGACGUUACCUACAGAAUAAGCACCGGCUAACUCCGUGCCAGCAGCCGCGGUAAUACGGAGGGUGCAAGCGUUAAUUGGAAUUACUGGGCGUAAAGCGCGCGUAGGCGGUUAAAUAAGUCAGAUGUGAAAGCCCCGGGCUCAACCUGGGAACUGCAUUUGAAACUGUUUAGCUAGAGUGUGGUAGAGGAGAGUGGAAUUUCAGGUGUAGCGGUGAAAUGCGUAGAUAUCUGAAGGAACAUCAGUGGCGAAGGCGGCUCUCUGGACCAACACUGACGCUGAGGUGCGAAAGCGUGGGUAGCAAACGGGAUUAGAUACCCCGGUAGUCCACGCCGUAAACGAUGUCAACUAACCGUUGGGCGGGUUUCCGCUUAGUGGUGCAGCUAACGCAAUAAGUUGACCGCCUGGGGAGUACGGCCGCAAGGCUAAAACUCAAAUGAAUUGACGGGGGCCCGCACAAGCGGUGGAGCAUGUGGUUUAAUUCGAUGCAACGCGAAGAACCUUACCUACCCUUGACAUACAGAGAACUUUCUAGAGAUAGAUUGGUGCCUUCGGGAACUCUGAUACAGGUGCUGCAUGGCUGUCGUCAGCUCGUGUCGUGAGAUGUUGGGUUAAGUCCCGUAACGAGCGCAACCCUUAUCCUUAGUUGCCAGCACUUCGGGUGGGAACUCUAGGGAGACUGCCGGUGACAAACCGGAGGAAGGUGGGGAUGACGUCAGGUCAUCAUGGCCCUUACGGCCAGGGCUACACACGUGCUACAAUGGCGCGCACAGAGGGCUGCAAACUCGCGAGAGUAAGCCAAUCUCUUAAAACGCGUCGUAGUCCGGAUCGCAGUCUGCAACUCGACUGCGUGAAGUCGGAAUCGCUAGUAAUCGCGAAUCAGAAUGUCGCGGUGAAUACGUUCCCGGGCCUUGUACACACCGCCCGUCACACCAUGGGAGUGGAUUGCACCAGAAGUGGUUAGUCUAACCGUAAGGGGGACGAUCACCACGGUGUGGUUCAUGACUGGGGUGAAGUCGUAACAAGGUAACCGUA